CGCGAAAUUAUAUUAUUGAGAUAUCCGCUUCCAAGAAUCCAUUGACCAUUGUACAUGGAAAUGGGAGUAUUCAGAUAUAUAUAUGGUGGCAUCAGAAGAGGAGCUGUAUGCYUGAUACAACUAUGUCACGCAUGUUGGAAUAAUUGUUGUUAUGUAUUUGGUCUUAUCAAAAGAAGAGUUCACGCAUGGUGGAAUGAUCGUGAUG
This is a long non-coding RNA of Exaiptasia diaphana, 205 nucleotides long. RefSeq lists it as uncharacterized. Lineage: Eukaryota; Metazoa; Cnidaria; Anthozoa; Actiniaria; Aiptasiidae. The record is from RefSeq and is a predicted model, not a curated record. The transcript is spliced from 3 exons.